Molecule: long non-coding RNA, 1190 nt
Organism: Rosa chinensis
Lineage: Eukaryota; Viridiplantae; Streptophyta; Magnoliopsida; Rosales; Rosaceae
Exons: 5
Source: RefSeq, a predicted model, not a curated record
CUUUAAUUCGUUUUGGGUCUUGGUCGGUUUCGUCAGAGAAGAGAAAGAAGAAGAAGGAGGAGGAGGAGACGGGCAGCUCCAGAAAGCUGAUCAUCAGCUUGCGCCCGAAUUUUUCCCUUCUCUUGCCUCUGAGUCCUCUCACUGCUCGGUUAUGGCACCUAAACCGAGGAUGACAAAAAAAAAUGCUCUUAGAAGGUGAUCAUAGCUCAGCAGAUUUAUGUCAUUCUGCAAGUUAUAGUGAAAGUUUAUCAAGUGAGGGGAAUAUGCGAGAAAUAAAGAAUGAUCAGACUUUUUUGCAUCUAGCAGAAAGUUCAUUUCACGACGAUAGCACACAUGAUCAAAUCAUGGCAAGAACAGGUUAUUAAAAACUGUUCUGAUGCCUAAACAGAGGACAAGCAGAAGAAAGUUUACAGUUGCAAGCAGAUAAAAGUGUUUAUAAUUAUAAUUGUGUGCAAUCUAACCUUCAUACUUCAGAACAAAGUCGUAAACACAAACGGAAAAGAUGUACAUCUGCUAUAAAUUUCAACUGUAGGGCAAGCACGUCCAACAAUCUAGGAGUCGAGAAAGCUGCUUGACAAGGAAAUAAUAUUGGACAAGCAUCAUAGCAAAGAAGCAAAUGUGGAGUCGAGAAAGCUGCUUGACAAGGAAAUAAUAUUGGACAAGCAUCAUAGCAAAGAAGCAAAUGUGGACCUUAUGGAAUAUGCGAGAAAUAAAGAAUGAUCAGAUUUUUGUUGCAUCUAUAGCAGAAAGUUCAUUUCACGACGACAGCACACAUGAUCAAAUCAUGCCAUCCACUAUUAAAUGCUUCAAAAUACAAGUACACAAGAAGAAGGCAAGAGCACACAUGCCAAGCAGGAUUAGAAACUGCAACUCCUUUUGAAGACUGCCAACAGAAGAUCAGUGAAGCCAGUCAUCUACUUUCCGCUGACUACAUGACAUUCUUUCAACUGCAAUGACAUAAACCAUUUUUUGAAAAGCUAAUGGUUUUUAUACUUUUAAGCAAUGUCAAUUAGCAGCGAAUCAAGCCAUGAACAUCUUUUUUGCUCCCUACAUGACAGUAUUUUGUAACAAAAUCAGACUAACUAUUUUUUUGUUUGUACAUAUGAUGCAUACAAAAUGCAUCUCCUAGAUCUAGGGCGAAACAAAAUUAACGUAACAACUUUAGCCCGCGGCAUCGCGCGGGUAAACUU